RNAcentral lists this transfer RNA (72 nucleotides) under Solanum tuberosum (potato). It matches the Rfam family "tRNA". From Rfam's summary of the family: Transfer RNA (tRNA) molecules are approximately 80 nucleotides in length. Their secondary structure includes four short double-helical elements and three loops (D, anti-codon, and T loops). Lineage: Eukaryota; Viridiplantae; Streptophyta; Magnoliopsida; Solanales; Solanaceae. The record is from Rfam by way of RNAcentral.
GGGUUCAUAGCUCAGUGAUGGAGCAUUUGACCGCAAAUCAGGAGGUCACCGGUUCAAACUUGAUUGGCCCUU